Molecule: ribosomal RNA, 314 nt
Filed under: uncultured bacterium
Lineage: Bacteria
Description: bacterial SSU rRNA
Rfam family: Bacterial small subunit ribosomal RNA
Source: RNAcentral
AAAACAAUAUUGAACGCUGGCGGCAUGCCUUACACAUGCAAGUCGAACGGCAGCACGGGUGCUUGCACCUGGUGGCGAGUGGCGAACGGGUGAGUAGUGCAUCGGAACGUACCCAGUAGUGGGGGAUAACUACCCGAAAGGGUGGCUAAUACCGCAUAUACUGUGCGCAGGAAAGCAGGGGACCGUUUGGCCUUGUGCUACUGGAGCGGCCGAUGUCAGAUUAGCUAGUUGGUGGGGUAAAGGCCUACCAAGGCGACGAUCUGUAGCGGGUCUGAGAGGAUGAUCCGCCACACUGGGACUGAGACACGGCCCAG